UACGGAGGGGGCAAGCGUUGUUCGGAAUUAUUGGGCGUAAAGCGUAUGUAGGCGGCUAAGUAAGUCAGGCGUGCAAGCCCGUGGCUCAACCACGGAAUUGCGUUUGAAACUACUUAGCUUGAGUGCAGGAGAGGAAAGCGGAAUUCCCAGUGUAGCGGUGAAAUGCAUUGAUAUUGGGAAGAACAUCUGUGGCGAAGGCGGCUUUCUGGUCUGUUACUGACGCUGAGGUACGAAAGCGUGGGUAGCAAACAGG
This 253-nucleotide ribosomal RNA is filed under the name uncultured bacterium. RNAcentral describes it as "partial 16S ribosomal RNA". It matches the Rfam family "Bacterial small subunit ribosomal RNA", at positions 524 to 776 of the family's 1533-position model. The record is from RNAcentral.